CUAAAACCAACAAAUAUUUGCUU
Molecule: non-coding RNA, 23 nt
Filed under: Arabidopsis thaliana (thale cress)
Lineage: Eukaryota; Viridiplantae; Streptophyta; Magnoliopsida; Brassicales; Brassicaceae
Source: RNAcentral